ACGGAGGAGGAGCAAAAUAAAUGACAGAUUUCAGAGGUUGAGAGAACUCAUUCCUCAUGGCGACCAAAAGAGAGACAAGGCGUCAUUCCUUUUAGAGGUCAUCGAGUACAUUCAGUUUUUGCAAGAGAAAGUACAAAAAUACGAAGGGUCAUACCAAGGAUGGAACCAUGCACCUGCAAAAUUGGUGCCAUUGAGAAACGGUAACAGGCCUUCAGAAAGUUACGUCGAUCAAUCUCGAGGCAUGAAUAGUGGUGCUGGUCCUGCGUUCCUGUUCGCUGCAAAGGUAGACGAGAAAAACAUCGCACUCUCUCCAACCAUUCCCAGAAGUACACGGAACCCAGUAGAGUCUGACAUAAAAUCGGACACUGCCUUUAAACUGCUGGAUCACCAUCCUGAAAUAACAAAUAAAGCAAUGCCUUUUCCUACAUCACUGCAGCCAAACUUCUUCAGUUCUUGUAGAACUGGUGGUGCAGUGGCUCAAGUUCCACCUAGGAUGGUUUCAGAUGCCGAGAAUAUGACAAGUCAACCUCAAUCCCAAUCACAUCAGAUCAGAUCAUGUGCCAAUGACGGAGCUGUUGCCAUUGAUAAGCUGAAAGAACAGGAGCUCAGCAUUGAAGGUGGUGCCAUUAACAUCUCAAGUUUGUACUCUCAAGGAGUUCUGGAGUAGAUUUGUCACAGGCCAGCAUCUCAGUUCAAAUUGAGCUGGGAAAGCGAGCAAAUGGAAGAGCAAUUAUUCCAGCAUCUAUUGUUAAGGUCUACAGGCAAAGCCUUAGCAUUACUUUCAAAAAAUACCCUUUUUAUCUAUGAUGUUAUGUGAACUUUAAUCUGUAUCAGAUUUCCAUUUCAUAUAACCAUGGAAAGCUGAGCUAAUAUUUGUUUUUCUUCUCGCCAUAGGAUAAUCAAAUUCCCUCUAGCAACCAAGGUACAAUACGGCCAAGAGUCUCAAGCGGAGGGGAAUGCCAUGAAGCCCUAAAGAAGCUCAAGACAAGUAAAAGUUAGUACGAAAGUUUCUUAAUAUUCUUUUUUUGACUUUAUUCUUUUUUUUUUUUAUAUAUAUAUAUACUUUUGUGUCAUCAUGGGAGUUUAUUCAUGUCUUCUCCUGGUUUAUAAACUACCCAGUUGAGACCGAGACGAUUGUACAUGUAACUGUUUUGUGUUUGUUGGGAGCACAGAGUUCCUAACGAACAAAUUUGUACUAUUCAUUUUCUAUUUUUGUGUAUCAUCAUAUGGGCUUCCACAUUCCAACGCUGAGAAGCUGCUUUUCAUUAACAUUCCAUUCAUGUGAUGUUUCCAAAAUCCAAAUAUUAAAAAAAAAAAACUGUCUUCCUCUCAAAUGCUUAAAAAAUUAUGAAAAUUUAGAAAUUAUGAAAAAUUUUACUAACAAAAAAUCCUUAUUUUACUUUAACAGAGUGUUAGUUAAUUAGUUAAAAGUUUA
This 1435-nucleotide unclassified non-coding RNA is filed under the name Hevea brasiliensis (rubber tree). The record is from RNAcentral. Lineage: Eukaryota; Viridiplantae; Streptophyta; Magnoliopsida; Malpighiales; Euphorbiaceae.